Molecule: ribosomal RNA, 458 nt
Filed under: uncultured bacterium
Lineage: Bacteria
Description: bacterial SSU rRNA
Rfam family: Bacterial small subunit ribosomal RNA
Source: RNAcentral
GAUGAACGCUAGCGGCAGGCCUAAUACAUGCAAGUCGAACGGUGUCUUCGGACAUAGUGGCGCACGGGUGCGUAACACGUAUGCAACCUACCUUACAUUGGGGGAUAGCCUUUCGAAAGGGAGAUUAAUACCGCAUAAGACAGUAGCUGGGCAUCCAGCAGCUGUUAAAGAUUUAUCGAUGUAAGCUGGGCAUGCGUCCAAUUAGCUAGUUGGUGAGGUAAUGGCUCACCAAGGCUAUGAUUGGUAGGGGAACUGAGAGGUCAAUCCCCCACACUGGCACUGAGAUACGGGCCAGACUCCUACGGGAGGCAGCAGUAGGGAAUAUUGGGCAAUGGACGCAAGUCUGACCCAGCCAUGCCGCGUGCAGGAUGAAGGCGUUAUGCGUUGUAAACUGCUUUUAUACAGGAAGAAACGACUCUUGCGAGAGGCAUUGACGGUACUGUAUGAAUAAGCACCGG